Long non-coding RNA from Hirundo rustica (Barn swallow), 2711 nucleotides. RefSeq lists it as uncharacterized. The transcript is spliced from 2 exons. The record is from RefSeq and is a predicted model, not a curated record. Lineage: Eukaryota; Metazoa; Chordata; Aves; Passeriformes; Hirundinidae.
GGCAGCCCAAAUGCUUCUGUAGGGUCAAUGAUUAUAGCUCAGCUGAGGGAGGGGUGACUUCUAGGGGAUGGAAACUUGUUCUUUAGUGCUCAACAAUAACACUGGCACUGCUAUAUCAGGGAAAAAUAAAAUGGGGCUGGCAAGGGAGGUGGCAGCAGAAAACAGACCUAAAUGCAUAAAUAUGUUCACAGGCUUAUGUCAAUAGAAAGGGGCUCUAUACAACUGUACUGGAGAUGUAAUAACACUGAAUUUUAUAAAACAUCUCAGUGGGUUUUUGUUUGGGAAGGCUUGUAAUAUGGCGACUUUAAAAAUAUAGCAUUAAGAGCUCUGUAGAGCACUGCACACAUCUAUCUUACAACUGCACGCACAUUUGCUUUAAGAGGUUUUUUGUUUUUUGGUUUGGUGUUUGGUGUGGUGUUUUUUUUUUUGUGGGUUUUUUUUUUUUUUUUUUUUUUUUUUUUUUUUUUUUUUUUAGUGUUUUACAGUAAAUUAUUCUUUUUGGCUCACAUCCACACAGUCCUCUCCAAUUGUUGCUCUUUGCCAUCAGUGAUGGCUGUUGUAGUUUCUGCAUUCAAUGACCUGCCUUGCUCCUCUUUCUCUGAUAAGUAGUAGCUGUUGGACUGGAGCCUUCCUGGUUCUGCGUGCCAUCUAGGCAGGCGGCAGAUUCGGCAAGUUUGCUUCGUGGGCAAGACAGGCUUAACAAGUGUUCCCUGAGAUGGAAGCAGGGACUUCUACUUUGUUAGUUUGUUGCCAUUUCGUGUCAUCACGCAAAUUCUCCCAGAAGGGGACCUGAGGAAGUUAUCUGGUUCCUUUCUGUGCGCAGGGCAGGAUCAGAUACAUCCCUGCCCUUUUUGGCUGAUGUUUGCUUAACUUGUUUUUGAACUCCUGCAUUGCUGCAAACUCCCAGCUCCCUGGACAACCUUUCUCUGUACUUUCCUGCAUUUGACCACUACAUCUGAUCCGAAAUACAUCCCCUUUGGAUUUACAGAGGACUGUUCUGAGUACAAGUUAACACACAAUUAAGCCUAGACCAGCCGAGCUACAACCAUUUGCUGCUGUGAUCCUUUCAAUUUUCUGCAGGGAAGAGAAAUGCUAGAAAGCUUCACAGAGAUUAUUUGAUAACAUAACUGUUCUGUAAUUUAAUUUAAUCUAAAGAUGAUUGUUUUCACUUCAGGAGACUGAAUUUUGCAUUGAGAGAAAAACUACAUCCAAGAACUAUUACAAUAGUGAUGCAUACACUACGUUUCUUCAAUGCCUGCAACAAGGAGACAACUUUUCAAAGCUGUAUUUCAUAUGUGUAUAAGGAGGGAUAUUAUGUAGCUAUUCGGUGUAAGGCUUUCAUCCUUUCGCAGAUGAGGACACGCGAUUUGGUUGGAGCUGAAACCGAGUGCAGGUCUGGAGAGGCUCUCUACUGUAGCACAAAAAUAAUCAGCAUCUGCAUGAAGUUCUUACCCAGAUGUGGAAAGCCUGCAACCAAUGUGAGACGGGGUUCAUCUUAUCUCUAGUUUUACUGCAAAGAAAUUUUAUCCGGAAACAUUACUUUUGCAGGGUCCCUUCGGUACUGCCAAUCCCCCUUGUUAUUACCAAGGAAAUAUCAGAUCAUAACUAUUCAUGGAGAUCUGAAAUGAAAUCGUCAUGCAAGAAGAACGUGAGAACUGCUGAGCAGACUGUAUUUCCUGUUAUCUGAGAACAACUCUGCAUCCACAAGUAGCUGAAAAUUGGGAUGUUUCUAUGAUCCCGUCACGUCCUUCAGCAGAUACAUUUUGCACAGACCCUUGUACAAAGAGAGAGAUUAAAGAACAAGUGAAACAUUUUCUCCCCUGCAUGUAGACGAAAAUAUAUGCUGCUUAAAAUGAGGGGUGACGCUGGAAAAAUGAUGCUUGAACUAGGAGGUCAUCUUAAAACAGAUGAAAGAAAGUCUAUUUCUUACACAAUGAGCCAUGGACUUCUAGGAUUUAUUAAUGCAGAGGGCAGUGGGUACAGGUACUACCAGCUAGUUCAAGAAGCUGUUGGAUAAAUUCAUGGACAACAGGUCCAUAAAGGGAAAAAGCAGGGUCGUGCUCACUCAACUCCCCAAGCAGCAUGUCCUGCUGCCAUCAACAGAGGCAGGCUGUGGGGUAAGGUUGGCCAUCCAUCUUGCUCCAGCAGCAUGAGUUUGAGACUCAUACGCCUCUCCUCCCCAUCCUAUCUGCCCUGCCCGUGGCUCCAGAGCCAAAGCCACUAUCACAAGGGUAAAAAGGCUCCUUGCUGGGCUUGCACUGUUCUAUAAAACUGGAACUGGCUUGUGGGGAAGUGAAUAAUUGGGGACCCUGGCCCAGGAUUUGUAUCCAGGUUAGACCUCUACCACCCUUGUCCAAGAACAGUUCUAGAGGAAGGUUGGUGAUGGCAAAACAGCCUAGGAACACCUAGUUAUUCCCUCAAAACCUGCUGAGGUUUGCAUCUGAAUUCCUCACAUCCUCUGCUCCAGGAAAGGAGAGGAGGGGCAGACUAUUGGCCACACAUAUUGCCUAUUUUUGCUUUCACUACAUUUGGUGAGGGUUGGAGACAUGAUGUAUUUUCCGCAGCCUCAAAUAAUUCUCAGUAGUGUCACAAAUAGCAAUGUUUCAGCUCUCUGAGGGAUUUUGGACAAGAGUGAAAGACCCUUGAAAUUGGUAUCAAUAAUUCUGCUGCUCAAGCUGAAGGCAAAACUCCAACAGCUGUCUGGGGUGUCU